Molecule: ribosomal RNA, 398 nt
Filed under: uncultured bacterium
Lineage: Bacteria
Description: partial 16S ribosomal RNA
Rfam family: Bacterial small subunit ribosomal RNA
Source: RNAcentral
AAUCUUGCGCAAUGGGCGAAAGCCUGUCGCAGCCAUGCCUCGUGAAGGAUGAAGGUCUUAGGAUUGUAAAAUUCUUUCACCGGGGACGAUAAUGACGGUACCCGGAGAAGAAGCUCCGGCUAACUUCGUGCCAGCAGCCGCGGUAAUACGAAGGGGGCUAGCGCUGCUCGGAAUUACUGGGCGUAAAGGGCGCGUAGGCGGACAUUUAAGUCAGGGGUGAAAUCCCAGGGCUCAACUCUGGAACUGCCGUGGAUACUGGGUGUCUUGAGUGUGAGAGAGGUAUGUGGAAGUCCGAGUGUAGAGGUGAAAUUCGUAGAUAUUCGGAAGAACACCAGUGGCGAAGGCGACAUACUGGCUCAUUACUGACGCUGAGGCGCGAAAGCGUGGGGAGCAAACAG